Molecule: transfer RNA, 72 nt
Filed under: Candidatus Kaiserbacteria bacterium RIFCSPHIGHO2_02_FULL_50_50
Lineage: Bacteria; Candidatus Kaiseribacteriota
Also listed under: 1 other name
Description: tRNA-Arg
Rfam family: tRNA
About the family: Transfer RNA (tRNA) molecules are approximately 80 nucleotides in length. Their secondary structure includes four short double-helical elements and three loops (D, anti-codon, and T loops).
Source: RNAcentral
GCCUUCAUAGUUCAAUGGAUAGAACAAGGGACUUCUAAGCCCGGGAUUGUGGUUCGAUUCCACAUGGAGGCA